UGCGCUUCCUGUCUCCAGUU
RNAcentral lists this unclassified non-coding RNA (20 nucleotides) under Mus musculus (house mouse). RNAcentral describes it as "oocyte_clustered_small_RNA9077". Lineage: Eukaryota; Metazoa; Chordata; Mammalia; Rodentia; Muridae. The record is from RNAcentral.